Molecule: ribosomal RNA, 253 nt
Filed under: uncultured bacterium
Lineage: Bacteria
Description: partial 16S ribosomal RNA
Rfam family: Bacterial small subunit ribosomal RNA
Source: RNAcentral
UACGUAGGGUGCAAGCGUUAAUCGGAAUUACUGGGCGUAAAGCGUGCGCAGGCGGUUUUGUAAGUCUGACGUGAAAGCCCCGGGCUCAACCUGGGAAUUGCGAUGGAGACUGCAAGGCUUGAAUCUGGCAGAGGGGGGUAGAAUUCCACGUGUAGCAGUGAAAUGCGUAGAGAUGUGGAGGAACACCGAUGGCGAAGGCAGCCCACUGGGUCAAGAUUGACGCUCAUGCACGAAAGCGUGGGGAGCAAACAGG